Molecule: ribosomal RNA, 497 nt
Filed under: uncultured bacterium
Lineage: Bacteria
Description: partial 16S ribosomal RNA
Rfam family: Bacterial small subunit ribosomal RNA
Source: RNAcentral
GAUGAACGCUGGCGGCGUGCCUAAUACAUGCAAGUCGAGCGAACAGACGAGGAGCUUGCUCCUCUGACGUUAGCGGCGGACGGGUGAGUCACACGUGGAUAACCUACCUAUAAGACUGGGAUAACUUCGGGAAACCGGAGCUAAUACCGGAUAAUAUAUUGAACCGCAUGGUUCAAUAGUGAAAGACGGUUUUGCUGUCACUUAUAGAUGGAUCCGCGCCGCAUUAGCUAGUUGGUAAGGUAACGGCUUACCAAGGCAACGAUGCGUAGCCGACCUGAGAGGGUGAUCGGCCACACUGGAACUUAGACACGGUCCAGACUCCUACGGGAGGCAGCAGUAGGGAAUCUUCCGCAAUGGGCGAAAGCCUGACGGAGCAACGCCGCGUGAGUGAUGAAGGUCUUCGGAUCGUAAAACUCUGUUAUUAGGGAAGAACAAAUGUGUAAGUAACUAUGCACGUCUUGACGGUACCUAAUCAGAAAGCCACGGCUAACUACGUG